Long non-coding RNA from Tachysurus fulvidraco (yellow catfish), 1211 nucleotides. RefSeq lists it as uncharacterized. The record is from RefSeq and is a predicted model, not a curated record. The transcript has 3 exons. Lineage: Eukaryota; Metazoa; Chordata; Actinopteri; Siluriformes; Bagridae.
CACGGUUUUCGCGUCAAAGUCAAACGUGAUGCAACGACUUUAAGACCAACGCUGGUGAAACUGCUCAACCUAGACGACUUUACGUACAGGAAAUAGUAGGGCAUUGUGUCUCUAUCCGCAGACUACACCACAAAUAUGUAUCCUACAUAGGGGUGCAGGGAGCCUGGAGGCUCGAGGUAGGACGAGGUGCCAAUCUAUCUCAGACACACUCAGACAUUAUGGACAAUUUAGAGAUGCCAAUCAGCCAGACGUCUUUGGACUCCAGGAGGAAACCCCUGACUCCACACACAGGGUGAAAUCAAACCCCCAACCCUGGAGUUCCAAACAAAUUAAAACUGGAUUUCAAAAACCAGUUUUGAGGGACUAUUAAUCAUCCACCUACAUCCCAUCUCUGGUUUCUGGCAGUGCUUCAGGAGAAACACUAAACAGUACACACAAGCAGAGAAUAAAGGUUUGUAUAUCUGCUUAUUUAAAAAUUUGCAUUACAAAAUGCACUCAUUUGGCUUAUGCUUUUAUGCAAAGCAACUACCAGCUUAGUCAGUGGUUAGUGGAGGUUUAUAGAGCUAAAAAUUAAUUAGGAAUUUGAUACAAUACAUUCCAUAACAAUGUUUUGGCAGAUGUGAUUACUCUCUAUACAGGUUUUCUCACUUAACUUACCAAUAUUCAGUUCAUUUGCUAAGUAGGUUUAAGGUCAAAUGAAAAAGUUACAUGACGCAACAUGUUAAAUUUAGGGUUUGGCUUCCUGUGAUGCAAUAAAAUGGUAAGCUCUGCUGUUUGUAGCCCUAACAAAACAAGUUACGUAGAUUUGAGUGAAUCUAUUCAAGUCUUUGUAGGUUAUCUGCUUUCUUUUUUCGUUUCUUUUCAAUUAAUUCUGUAGUUUUUGCCAUUUUCUAUUUUCUUUGUUGAACAAAAUGCCUGCGUGAAGCUCAGUUAAUUGUAAUAGGCAAUUUUUGUGUUCACUUUUAUGAAAUGUCUCCAUCUGUUGUAUACAAGUGGUACAUUUCAUUUACAGAAAAAAAUACCACAAUGCAAGCUAAUAAAGUAAAUUACAACACUUUGACACUUUGUAAAUUAAUCAGUUUGCUAUUUUCCUGGAUUUAGAUUCAAAUGUGAAUUGUUUAGUACCAGGACACUUAAACCGGACGGUCUAAGACUUUUUAUUGAGUGUGUGUGUGUGUGUGUGUGUGUGUGUGUGUGUGUGUGUGUGUGCA